Molecule: long non-coding RNA, 1665 nt
Filed under: Homo sapiens (human)
Lineage: Eukaryota; Metazoa; Chordata; Mammalia; Primates; Hominidae
Description: non-protein coding lnc-CBFA2T3-1:4
Source: RNAcentral
AGAGCAAUGGGGACGGGCAGGGACAGAGCUGCGGGCUGAGGUUCCUCCGUUCGGCGAAGCCCCUUCUCUCUGCCCCCGCCUGCUCUGGGCUUUCUUGGCUAUGUCUGCUCCUGACAGGAGGGAUGUGUGUUGCCAGGGGUGGGGGCUUGGCGUGUGUGCGUGUGAGAAUAUGUGUGUGUGUUUAAAAUACAAAAAAAAAAAAAAAAGAAGCGUGCCUAUACUCAGCCGCGAGACGCUGGCCAGCCUCCAUCCGUGCCAACUCCCCUCCGAGCUGGCACUGGGGACUCCGGAGGCACGGGGAGGAGGAAGGUGCGGGCAGCUUGCGGUGAGGAUGGACGCGUGCCACCGACGUAUGCCAGCGGCUGCAGGGGGCCAAACGCCUAUCCACAAAACCCACCGCGAUCGCUGGCAGCCGUGGCGGGAGGCGGCAGCAGUUGGCAGAGGUGCCAGGGAGGGCCGGCUGGGGCAGGUGGAUCCUGGCAGCAGCAGCGCAGGUAAAGCGUGCGGGCUCGCGGGGUGUGGGCGCCUGGCAUCUGCGUCGGGUGCCAGAGGCCGGGGCCGGAUCUUGGCCUGGCUCUGGGUUGCAGGGCGUGGCAGCAUCAGGGAGGGCUGAAUCCCGCAGGGUUCUGGGCCAGCCUGGUAGAGGACGGCUCCUCUCGGCUUCCCCAGCGUCGCCCUGGGGCCUGUUUCCAGCUGUGCUUGGCCCUUCGUCCUCCAGGGAGCUCGGUUGGGUGGGCUCGGUGGGGCCAGCAUGGGGUCGGCCACAUCACCUCCGCCUGAUGCCCUGUGGGCCCCCAGGGCCAGGUCUCCUCUGCCCAGUUCCGUAUAGUCCCCCAGAUGGUCCCCAAAUGUUGGUCGCUGUCCCCAUGCGUGGGCUGCAGGGCUGUAUCUUGGGGCCCAGGGCUCCUAGGGGAGUGCGUCUGCCUUCCCUCUCGUCUUCCCGGAGCCCCCGCCCCACCUCUUGCUCCCAGCCUGGCUUGGUGCCUCAGAGCCUGUGCGGAACGAUGGGACAGACGCCAAACGUGUGGUAGCAGGAGUGCGGGUGACGGUGCAGCAAGCCCAGCUGCUGAGGGUGGGAAGGAGCCCGAGGUGAGGGACUCCCCAGCAGCUCCAAGGCAAAGUCCUGCUGCCCUUCCCAGCAAUUACAGGCUGGGCAGAAAGAGCUGGGGGCCGUGGGAGAGGGGAUUUUCACCUGCAGAAAGGUGGGUGACACCCAGGUGGGCCAGCGUGGAGCUGGCAGGGCUGGGGGUGUUAGUCCCGGCGUCUGGCUGUGGCCCCUCAGCGUGAUCCAUGGCGAGCAGGAUGGCAGAGGCUGCCAGCCACAGCAUCAGCUGGCAGAGGCUGGCACCAGACCCAUGCCCUGGCAGGAGCAUGGCACAGAGGGGCCCUGGCUGUGCCGGGGGCUCUGGGCUGGCCGCUGUCCCAGUCAAUGCUCUGGGCAGCCAAUCCAGUCCCAGAAAGAAGGUUGCACUGGAGGGGCGAUUAGAGCACAUGGGCAGGGGCUGGGGUAAAGAUGGCUGGGUGGCUGGGCCCCCAGCUCCUCCAAGCCCGGGAGGAGGUUAGGCCCAUGGACCUUAAAACUCCGAGCCUAGAGUCGGGCUGGCCCACAGGAGCCUCCACCUUGAAGGGGCUAGGAGGGGCCUCUGAGGCCAAGGUCAGGAGCCC